UAUUUAUAUAAUAUAAAAAUUAUAUUUGACUUCCAAUCAAAAAAUCUAAAUAAAAUUUAGUAUAAAU
RNAcentral lists this transfer RNA (67 nucleotides) under Galerucinae sp. 5 ACP-2013. Its description in RNAcentral is "tRNA-Gly". The record is from RNAcentral. Lineage: Eukaryota; Metazoa; Arthropoda; Insecta; Coleoptera; Chrysomelidae.